CCCUUAGAUGUUCUGGGCUGCACGCGUGCUACACUGAUAUUGCCAAUAUGUCAUUCUUAUCCGAAAUGGAUUGGGUAAUCAAGUAAUGAAAUUUCAUGCUUGGAAUCGGUAAUUGCAAUUUUAUCGUGAACGAGGAAUUCCUAGUAAGCACUAGUCAUCAGCUAAUGUUGAUUAUGUCCCUGCCCUUUGUACACACCGCCCGUCGCUACUACUGAUUGGGUGUUCAAGUGAGAUGCUUAGACCCUUGUUGCAUGGUUCAUUAUUGUGCUCCGAAAGGAAAAAGUUUCAAGCUUGAGUGUCUAGGGGAAGUAAAAGUCGUAACA
Molecule: ribosomal RNA, 323 nt
Filed under: uncultured eukaryote
Lineage: Eukaryota
Description: partial 18S ribosomal RNA
Rfam family: Eukaryotic small subunit ribosomal RNA
Source: RNAcentral